This is a long non-coding RNA of Felis catus (domestic cat), 1379 nucleotides long. RefSeq lists it as uncharacterized. NCBI's taxonomy places the organism in Eukaryota, Metazoa, Chordata, Mammalia, Carnivora, Felidae. The record is from RefSeq and is a predicted model, not a curated record. The transcript is spliced from 3 exons.
GCCGGCUGGGCCUCCACUUAGAGGAGGUCAUGAAGCUGUUCUCCACGCCGACGACGCCGACGCCACGCCGAGGGCAGUGAGGGCGUCGUGGCAGCGCGCGGCUUUGAGCUCCGACAGUCUGCGCGCCGGCAGCUAGGGGGCCUGGCCCGUAGAGACGCGGCCUCGGUCCGACACGUCUCGCAGUAGCUGUCGAGGAGCCGGCCCCCUUGGGGUCUGAGCCGUGCCGCACGCUCUUCUGCGGCCAGAAAACCAAGGUGAGAAAUGCAAGGAAUUGAAAUCAAGAAAAUGCUUUUGUGAUAAGCAUCCCUAAGUAUGUGGUAUCCCUGUCAACUGUGCUCGGCAUAAUUCCUCAUCCAAGAAUUGCUACUCAGCAGCUUUCCAAGGCUGGGUCCUUCUGCCUGCAGUGAAUGACUCCCCAGAUUCUUGGGUCUUAGAAAUUGUUAUGGACUGAAUUAUGUUCCUCCCAAAUCCAUAUGUUAAAAUACCUCAGAUGGUGACUGUAUUUGGAGACAUGGCCUUUAAAGAGAUAAUUAACGUAAGAUGAGUUCGUAUGGGUGAACCCUGACCCAGUGUGGUGAGUUUAUAAGAGGAGAUUAGGCCACAGGCGUAUACAGAAAACCACAUGAAGACAGAGAGAAGAGUGUCCACUACAAGCCAAGGAGGGAGCCUUCUGAAGAAAUCAACACUGUGGACAUCGUGAUCUCAGGCUUCUAGACUCCAGAACUGUAAGGAAGCAAACUUCUGUUGUUUAAGUCACCCAGUCUGUCUACUUAUUACGGCAGCCCGAGCUUACGAAGACAGGAAUCUUCCUGGAAUACAGGAUGCUUUGUGAGUCAUGGUCCUUCUGUCUCAAGAGGCUGACUCUGCUGGGCAUGUGGAUUAGUCUUUAAUAUAUGAGAGGGCUUUAUGCACAGACAGGAACACCCACAAUGAUAUGAACUUUACUUAAUGUUCAACGGAUUGAGCAUUUAUGCAUUAAUAGAAAAUUUGAUUGAAUUCCCUUAACUUUGACUGAAACUGAAAAUCUAAUAUGAUUGAUUCUUUUGAAUAUUUCAAUACCUUAGAUAGCAGACAACAUACACAAAUAUAACAAGACUUAUUAUAUUUAACUUUAAACUAUUCUAUAUAUCAAAUGCCAUAUGUUGAGUUUAUUUCUUCAUUAAAGUUGCUUUAUACAUUCCUAGCAUUAUGGAUGAUCUUACUUUGGCAUCUUCCUAAUGUUCAAUAAUAUUAGUUUGAUAUGUUCUAGGUCACAAUUCUCAGACCCCAAAACUCACUGAGGUUCUGAAUUUUUUUUUUACCAUUUCUUGGAGCACAAAAUUCAGUUUUUCCCCAACUAAUUAAAAUCCAACCAUUAAGUACAAUACUGAGCCCCUUUU